Long non-coding RNA from Felis catus (domestic cat), 341 nucleotides. RefSeq lists it as uncharacterized. Lineage: Eukaryota; Metazoa; Chordata; Mammalia; Carnivora; Felidae. The record is from RefSeq and is a predicted model, not a curated record. The transcript is spliced from 3 exons.
CUUUUUUUUUUUCAGAAUGGUGGCCUCAUAGUUCAAAGUCAUCUGCAGUGGCUAUACAUUCAUCUGGAUAACAAGCCCUCAGGCAAAACUCGGGCUUCAUCCAGCCCGCAAAGCUCAGACUCUCUUCUCCGUGUUGAAUUGAUGCACAGACGUCACAGGUAUCUGCCCCUCUUCCCUCCUAAAAGGAGACCCACAGUUCUUCCUCCUCAGGUUGAAUACCCAUGAAGUUGGCCCUGCCUUCAUGUCAAAAGCGAUCCGUGAACUCAACACUCGUACAUGGUUCUGAAAGUGCAGGCUGUCCGAUCUCCUGCCUGCCUGCUGGACUCCACGUCACCUGCCUU